GCGCGUUUUGCCGUCCGAUCCCAAGCCUGCUCACAUGUCGACCAUCGCGACGUGGAGCGCAUCAGGGGAAUUAAGGACAUGCCCGGCGCCCACCCUAUUUUUUUUUUCCAUUUUAUCACCCCACAGACAGGUCGAUCGUCGGCCCGUUAGUCUUUUCUUUAAGGAAGUCGGUCCGGUCUGUUAGUGAAACGCAUAAAUGAGGAGAU
RNAcentral lists this long non-coding RNA (206 nucleotides) under Brachypodium distachyon (stiff brome). RNAcentral describes it as "long non-coding RNA (BDIS_LNC004442)". The record is from RNAcentral. Lineage: Eukaryota; Viridiplantae; Streptophyta; Magnoliopsida; Poales; Poaceae.